GACGUAGGGCGCGAGCGUUGUCCGGAUUUAUUGGGCGUAAAGAGCUCGUAGGCGGUGUGUCGCGUCGGCCGUGAAAACCUGCAGCUUAACUGUGGGCUUGCGGUCGAUACGGGCAUCACUGGAGUUCGGCAGGGGAGACUGGAAUUCCUGGUGUAGCGGUGAAAUGCGCAGAUAUCAGGAGGAACACCGGUGGCGAAGGCGGCUCUUUGGUCUGUAACUGACGCUGAGGCGCGAAAGCGUGGGGAGCGAACAGG
This 254-nucleotide ribosomal RNA is filed under the name uncultured bacterium. Its description in RNAcentral is "partial 16S ribosomal RNA". It matches the Rfam family "Bacterial small subunit ribosomal RNA", at positions 524 to 776 of the family's 1533-position model. The record is from RNAcentral.